This 351-nucleotide ribosomal RNA is filed under the name uncultured bacterium. RNAcentral's name for it is "bacterial SSU rRNA". It matches the Rfam family "Bacterial small subunit ribosomal RNA", at positions 8 to 349 of the family's 1533-position model. The record is from RNAcentral.
CAGAGUUGAUCAUGGCUCAGGAUGAACGCUAGCUACAGGCUUAACACAUGCAAGUCGAGGGGAAACGACAUCGAAAGCUUGCUUUUGAUGGGCGUCGACCGGCGCACGGGUGAGUAACGCGUAUCCAACCUGCCCAUCACUUGGGGAUAACCUUGCGAAAGUAAGACUAAUACCCAAUGACGUCUCUAGAAGACAUCUGAAAGAGAUUAAAGAUUUAUCGGUGAUGGAUGGGGAUGCGUCUGAUUAGCUUGUUGGCGGGGUAACGGCCCACCAAGGCGACGAUCAGUAGGGGUUCUGAGAGGAGGUCCCCCACAUUGGAACUGAGACACGGUCCAAACUCCUACGGGAGCA